CUCCGGGCUCCCUGCCUCUCCCUCCCCUCCCAACCGCCCAUUUCUUCUUGCAGUUCCAAGAUCCAGGUCCCGCCCGGUGGUUCCGGAUCUGCGUCGCCGGUCAGAUCCGUGCGCGCCGCUCGUUCCCCCGCCGGCCUCGGUACGCUGGCAGGUCUCACCGACGCCCGUCGGCCAGGCGGCGGUGGCGGUGGCGGGGCGCCACUAUCCGACGUCUCAGCGCCGGCGGCCGGCCUCUGGCUGUUCCGCGGUGAGAUCUUUUGAACCGUCCGGGUGCUGUUUUCCUCCUCUGACCUCUCGGUCGGCCCUCUUCACAAGCUCCGGCGAGAUCUUGGGACGCAUCCGUACGGGGAUCGCGGUUCACGGGAAGGCCGACGAGGAGUUCCUGGCUCGUACGAGACCCUGAAUCUCCGAUCCUGUUCAAAAGGUACGUGGCCUUGCAGUGUUCAAGAAGUCUCGGUUCGUGCCUGAUUCGCUCUCUAUGCCGUCGCGUCUCGCGACGCAGAGUCUGUUUUUCUUGCUCGAAUCCCAAGCUCCCCUGACGGCUGACGCCCUGACGCUGCCCUGCUGCUCUGCUCUGACAAUAUUUUCAGCGACGAACCAAACGCCGAAACGCGUACUGCCGUACUCCUAGUGCAUUCGGCCUUGUUUAGUGCCUGAAUUUGGGUGUCCAAAAUUACUGUUGUAGCACUGUAGCACAUUGUAACGUUUCGUUUGUAUUUGUGAAUUAUUGUCCAAAUAUUGACUAAUUAGGCUCAAAAGAUUCGUCUCGCAAAGU
Molecule: long non-coding RNA, 775 nt
Filed under: Setaria viridis
Lineage: Eukaryota; Viridiplantae; Streptophyta; Magnoliopsida; Poales; Poaceae
Description: long non-coding RNA (SVIR_LNC002679)
Source: RNAcentral